RNAcentral lists this ribosomal RNA (460 nucleotides) under uncultured bacterium. RNAcentral's name for it is "partial 16S ribosomal RNA". It matches the Rfam family "Bacterial small subunit ribosomal RNA", at positions 338 to 795 of the family's 1533-position model. The record is from RNAcentral.
CCUACGGGAGACAGCAGUGAGGAAUAUUGGUCAAUGGACGAGAGUCUGAACCAGCCAAGUAGCGUGAAGGAUGACUGCCCUAUGGGUUGUAAACUUCUUUUAUAUGGGAAUAAAACGUUCCACGUGUGGGAUUUUGUAUGUACCAUAUGAAUAAGGAUCGGCUAACUCCGUGCCAGCAGCCGCGGUAAUACGGAGGAUCCGAGCGUUAUCCGGAUUUAUUGGGUUUAAAGGGAGCGUAGGUGGAUUGUUAAGUCAGUUGUGAAAGUUUGCGGCUCAACCGUAAAAUUGCAGUUGAAACUGGCAGUCUUGAGUACAGUAGAGGUAGGCGGAAUGCGUGGUGUAGCGGUGAAAUGCUUAGAUAUCACGAAGAACUCCGAUUGCGAAGGCAGUUCACUGGACUGCAACUGACACUGAGGCUCGAAAGUGUGGGUAUCAAACAGGAUUAGAUACCCGAGUAGUC